Molecule: unclassified non-coding RNA, 211 nt
Filed under: soil metagenome
Description: partial contains 5.8S ribosomal RNA, internal transcribed spacer 2, and large subunit ribosomal RNA
Source: RNAcentral
AACAAGGCGUACCUGCGGACCUGCGGAGGGAUCAUUACAAGUGACCCCGGUUUACCACCGGGAUGUUCAUAACCCUUUGUUGUCCGACUCUGUUGCCUCCGGGGCGACCCUGCCUUCGGGCGGGGGCUCCGGGUGGACACUUCAAACCCUUGCGUAACUUUGCAGUCUGAGUAAACUUAAUUAAUAAAUUAAAACUUUUAACAACGGAUCU